GGGGGAUAGCCGUUGGAAACGACGAUUAAUACCGCAUGAGACCACAGAAUCGCAUGGGUAUAGGGGUCAAAGAUUUAUCGGUGUAAGAAGGGCUCGCGUCUGAUUAGCUAGUUGGAAGGGUAAAGGUCUACCAAGGCGACGAUCAAUAGCCGGUCUGAGAGGAUGAACGGCCACAUUGGA
RNAcentral lists this ribosomal RNA (180 nucleotides) under Parvimonas micra. RNAcentral describes it as "partial 16S ribosomal RNA". It matches the Rfam family "Bacterial small subunit ribosomal RNA", at positions 138 to 317 of the family's 1533-position model. The record is from RNAcentral. Lineage: Bacteria; Bacillati; Bacillota; Tissierellia; Tissierellales; Peptoniphilaceae.